GUGCUGGAUGUUAGAAAGAAUUCUUUUUCUAACAUAGAACUUGCUUAUCCCUUUGCUGUGGUUUAACCUUCAGGCAGCUGAACACCACAGAGCUAUCUGGUCACUCUGUCCCACAGAGAUGGGGGAGAGAACAGGAAAACAGAUUGUUUCUUCAUUUCAUCAAAAUCAGCAGCUCCUCCCUUGCUCUUGCAGUUCUCCCUACUUUGGCACUGUACUUUUUCAGAGCAAAAUGCAAGCUACCUGCCUGGGCAGACUGAACAGUAAUCACUGUUCGAAGAGGAAGAAAUCUGUUCAUCUCCCUGUUUUUCUGGCAGAAACAAUUUUUAGCUAUUGUGUUCUUUCCUGAUGAAUUGGCCACUUUAGUUUCAAACUCACAUCUUCCCAAUAAAAAGACUGGCAUCCAUUA
This is a long non-coding RNA of Passer domesticus (house sparrow), 406 nucleotides long. RefSeq lists it as uncharacterized. The transcript is spliced from 2 exons. The record is from RefSeq and is a predicted model, not a curated record. Lineage: Eukaryota; Metazoa; Chordata; Aves; Passeriformes; Passeridae.